GGCGGCAUGCCUUACACAUGCAAGUCGAACGGCAGCAUGGAAGAGCUUGCUCUUCUGAUGGCGAGUGGCGAACGGGUGAGUAAAGCAUCGGAACGUACCGUGUAGUGGGGGAUAACGUAGCGAAAGUUACGCUAAUACCGCAUACGCACUGAGGUGGAAAGCAGGGGAUCGCAAGACCUUGCGCUAUACGAGCGGCCGAUGUCAGAUUAGCUAGUUGGUAGGGUAAAGGCCUACCAAGGCGACGAUCUGUAGCGGGUCUGAGAGGAUGAUCCGCCACACUGGGACUGAGACACGGCCCAGACUCCUACGGGAGGCAGCAGUGGGGAAUUUUGGACAAUGGGCGAAAGCCUGAUCCAGCCAUGCCGCGUGAGUGAAGAAGGCCUUCGGGUUGUAAAGCUCUUUCGGCUGGGAAGAAAUCGCACAGGCUAAUACUCUGUGUGGAUGACGGUACCAGCACAAGAAGCACCGGCUAACUACGUG
This 480-nucleotide ribosomal RNA is filed under the name uncultured bacterium. RNAcentral describes it as "bacterial SSU rRNA". It matches the Rfam family "Bacterial small subunit ribosomal RNA", at positions 38 to 507 of the family's 1533-position model. The record is from RNAcentral.